Molecule: microRNA, 20 nt
Filed under: Solanum tuberosum (potato)
Lineage: Eukaryota; Viridiplantae; Streptophyta; Magnoliopsida; Solanales; Solanaceae
Description: stu-miR8051-5p
Source: miRBase by way of RNAcentral
UAGUAUGGUAGAAAGAUUCA